Molecule: ribosomal RNA, 133 nt
Filed under: uncultured bacterium
Lineage: Bacteria
Description: partial 16S ribosomal RNA
Source: RNAcentral
UGGUACCAUCAGUUCUCCCGACUAUUAAUCGAAAGAAUUUUUUCCCACUUGACAGAGCUUUACGACCCGAAAGCCUUCUUCACUCACGCGGCGUUGCUGCGUCAGGGUUUCCCCCAUUGCGCAAAAUUCCUCA